GCCGGGGUGGUGGAAUCGGUAGACACAAGGCACUUAAAAUGCCUCGGCCCUUGGCCGUGCGGGUUCAAGUCCCGCCCUCGGCACCA
This 86-nucleotide transfer RNA is filed under the name Billgrantia sulfidoxydans. RNAcentral describes it as "Halomonas sp. MCCC 1A11059 tRNA-Leu". It matches the Rfam family "tRNA". From Rfam's summary of the family: Transfer RNA (tRNA) molecules are approximately 80 nucleotides in length. Their secondary structure includes four short double-helical elements and three loops (D, anti-codon, and T loops). The record is from RNAcentral. Lineage: Bacteria; Pseudomonadati; Pseudomonadota; Gammaproteobacteria; Oceanospirillales; Halomonadaceae.